RNAcentral lists this ribosomal RNA (441 nucleotides) under uncultured bacterium. Its description in RNAcentral is "bacterial SSU rRNA". It matches the Rfam family "Bacterial small subunit ribosomal RNA", at positions 958 to 1397 of the family's 1533-position model. The record is from RNAcentral.
AACGCGAAGAACCUUACCUGGGCUCGAAGCGCAGUGGACCGGGGUAGAAAUAUCCCUUCCUCGCAAGAGGCUGCUGCGGAGGUGCUGCAUGGCUGUCGUCAGCUCGUGUCGUGAGAUGUUGGGUUAAGUCCCGCAACGAGCGCAACCCUUAUCCCUAGUUGCCAUCGGGUCAAGCCGGGCACUCUAGUGAAACCGCCCAGGAUAACUGGGAGGAAGGUGGGGAUGACGUCAAGUCCUCAUGGCCUUUAUGUCCAGGGCUACACACGUGCUACAAUGGUCGGUACAAACCGUCGCAAACCCGCGAGGGGGAGCUAAUCGGAAAAAACCGGUCUCAGUUCGGAUUGCAGGCUGCAACUCGCCUGCAUGAAGCUGGAAUCGCUAGUAAUCACGUAUCAGAACGACGUGGUGAAUACGUUCCCGGGCCUUGUACACACCGCAUAC